Molecule: ribosomal RNA, 947 nt
Filed under: uncultured bacterium
Lineage: Bacteria
Description: bacterial SSU rRNA
Rfam family: Bacterial small subunit ribosomal RNA
Source: RNAcentral
GGNCGGNNGGCUACACAUGCAAGUCGAGCGGUAGAGAGAAGCUUGCUUCUCUUGAGAGCGGCGGACGGGUGAGUAAUGCCUAGGAAUCUGCCUGGUAGUGGGGGAUAACGUUCGGAAACGGACGCUAAUACCGCAUACGUCCUACGGGAGAAAGCAGGGGACCUUCGGGCCUUGCGCUAUCAGAUGAGCCUAGGUCGGAUUAGCUAGUUGGUGAGGUAAUGGCUCACCAAGGCGACGAUCCGUAACUGGUCUGAGAGGAUGAUCAGUCACACUGGAACUGAGACACGGUCCAGACUCCUACGGGAGGCAGCAGUGGGGAAUAUUGGACAAUGGGCGAAAGCCUGAUCCAGCCAUGCCGCGUGUGUGAAGAAGGUCUUCGGAUUGUAAAGCACUUUAAGUUGGGAGGAAGGGCAGUUACCUAAUACGUGAUUGUUUUGACGUUACCGACAGAAUAAGCACCGGCUAACUCUGUGCCAGCAGCCGCGGUAAUACAGAGGGUGCAAGCGUUAAUCGGAAUUACUGGGCGUAAAGCGCGCGUAGGUGGUUUGUUAAGUUGGAUGUGAAAUCCCCGGGCUCAACCUGGGAACUGCAUUCAAAACUGACUGACUAGAGUAUGGUAGAGGGUGGUGGAAUUUCCUGUGUAGCGGUGAAAUGCGUAGAUAUAGGAAGGAACACCAGUGGCGAAGGCGACCACCUGGACUGAUACUGACACUGAGGUGCGAAAGCGUGGGGAGCAAACAGGAUUAGAUACCCUGGUAGUCCACGCCGUAAACGAUGUCAACUAGCCGUUGGGAGCCUUGAGCUCUUAGUGGCGCAGCUAACGCAUUAAGUUGACCGCCUGGGGAGUACGGCCGCAAGGUCAAAACUCAAAUGAAUUGACGGGGGCCCGCACAAGCGGUGGAGCAUGUGGUUUAAUUCGAGCACGCGAGACCUUACCAGGCCUUGAC